UCCCUGGUGGCUCAGAGGAUAAGGCAUCUGCCUGCAAUGCAGGAGACCCAGGUUCGAUCCCUGGGUUGGGAA
Non-coding RNA from Bos taurus (domestic cattle), 72 nucleotides. NCBI's taxonomy places the organism in Eukaryota, Metazoa, Chordata, Mammalia, Artiodactyla, Bovidae. The record is from Rfam.